This 442-nucleotide ribosomal RNA is filed under the name uncultured bacterium. RNAcentral's name for it is "partial 16S ribosomal RNA". It matches the Rfam family "Bacterial small subunit ribosomal RNA", at positions 338 to 795 of the family's 1533-position model. The record is from RNAcentral.
CCUACGGGAGGCAGCAGUAGGGAAUUUUUCACAAUGGGCGAAAGCCUGAUGGAGCAACGCCGCGUGCAGGAUGAAGGCCUUAGGGUUGUAAACUGCUUUUAUAAGCGAGAAAUAUGAUGGUAACUUAUGAAUAAGGAUCGGCUAACUACGUGACAGCAGCCGCGGUCAUACGUAGGCUCCGAGCAUUAUCCGGAGUGACUGGGUGUAAAGAGUUGCGUAGGUGGCAUAAUAAGUAGCUAGGGAAAUCUGGUGGCUCAACCAUUCAGACUACUAUCUAAACUGGUAAGCUCGAGACCGUUAGGGGUAACUGGAAUGUCUAGUGUAGGAGUGAAAUCCGUAGAUAUUAGAAAGAACACCGAUAGCGAAGGCAGGUUACUGGGACGGUUCUGACACUAAGGCACGAAAGCGUAGGGAGCAAACGGGAUUAGAUACCCGUGUAGUC